AAAAAAAAAAAAAAAAAAUCUCCCAAAAUACUCCUUUAUGGGGACUUUGAAUUGCAGAAAACAGGUUCAAAGGGUCUGUCUCGAAUAUUGCCGAGGAUGAUUCCAGCGCCACAGCAAGCUUCAUCGCCUCAAGCAUCGCCUUUGCUUCCUCAGCCAAAGGAGAAAAGCAGAAAACUCUUUUUGCCGCCCUAUCUAUCAAUAGUCCAACAUUAAUCAUUCCUGUCACUGCAAAUUCCAUAUAUAACUUCUUACCUGAAUCACCAUUUUAUUUUAUAAUUUCUUGUUAAGCAAUCUCGCUUUUCUCUAUUUAAAAUCACUUCUCCAUCGAUUGAAUCGCUUCUCCCACCUCUCUACAUUUCUCUUCUCUGCCACAAGGGAAAGAAGAAAUUAUCAAUCAUCAACAUUUCUUUCUCUCUCUGGAUGGAAGCACCGACAUUGUAACUGAAAACCCUAAAGCGAUUUGUUAGCGAUCUUCCUUUCUUUCAUGGAUACUUGAUCUUUAUCAGGAUAUAGAAGAAAGAGAGAGAGAGAAAGGAAACCUCUGGCCCCUUCAUUGUUCGAAUUUCUUGAUCCCCUGGCCUCUUCAUUGCUUGGCGGCUAGGCUACUAGCGGUUUUCCAUCAUCGCGCGCAGUUCCAUCACUGAAGAACCUGACCUAGCUGCUAAAGAUGGAAGAAGAGCCCAACCCUGUUCACUCCCCUCCUCAAAACUCCGUAACUCCUCUUACAAAUGACAGAUACGAGCGUAUAAUGAGCAAUCUCAGAGCCUCGGUGUUUUCGAAAAUAAGCCCCUCGGGAGACAUUGCGCCUCAAAUCAAGACCUACAUUGAAAAACGGCUGCGAGAAUUCUUCCCCAGUUUCCACACACCCUCUCACCCACCUUACGCCUCUAUGAUUCUAAGGGCAAUUUCAGAGUUGAAUGAUGAAGGGGGGUCCACCGAGGAGGCAAUAUCAGCAUUUAUUAAAAGAGAGUAUGAGCAUUUGCCAUGGGGGCAUGAGAGUUUUUUGAGUCAUCAUUUGAGGAAGCUUUGUCGGAAUUUGGAGAUAGAAUGUGUAAAUAAUGGACGAUAUAUGCUUUUAUUUGAAGAUUGUGAGUUUAAGGAGAUGACAGGAGCAAGUAGGAAAAAGCAGGGUCGCAGAGGUAGGCAGGGCAGGAAAAAAGGCAGAGCGAAGGAGAUGAAGAAACAAAGUCAAGCUGAAAACCAACAAAUUGAAGUAUAUAAAGAGGUGCGCAUCAUUAUUAUAUAGUUUAUUAGAAAAAAGUGUUAAUCCUCAACUUUUGAUGCUGCCAUCAGCAUUCUAUUAUUAUUAUUUUUUUGCAUGUAUUCAAGUUUAUUUUUUGCCCUUUUUUCCUUUGUUUAACCAAAGAAAAAAGAAUAGUAAGCUUGCAUUAGAUGGAAGGAUGAUGAGCAUAAGAUUCUUAUGCACUUGAUAGCAAACAGGUUCUGUUGGAAAGUCAUGCAUUAGAUACUUGUUUUUCCUUAUUCCAAAUUUGCAUUGGUACAUAUAAACAGCAAGUUAUGCAGAAUCUAGGAUUCAUUUUGUGUUGAGAUGUAUAAAACAUUAAUUGCAUGUUUAUUUUCUAAGAGAUGAAAUAGCCUUGGUGUCAGGAGACUCUGCAAGCUAUGGAACUGAAGCAGCACAAGGACCAGAAGACCUCAUUGGAGAGAGAUGUCGAGAUGGGAUUUAACAAGCAAGAUGAAGUUCAAGACUUUGUGACCCAGAACUUGGACUAUGAUCAUCCUGCGGUGGAAGAGGAAAAGCAACUGCAAAUUACAAGUCCUUGUGAAAAGAGGGAAAUCAUUUGUGGUCUGUUGUCAGUACGGCACCCUCAACCAAAGAAUCUCUCUCAUCAACAAAUGAGAGCCAAUUUACACCCGGUUGAAUCAUCAUCUUUUCUUGAAUCGCGCACAGAUCCAGAGCAGCAUCUUGACCUUUCUACCAUGAAAAGAUCUCCUAAACCAAAAGCACCUGUAAACAAAAAUAUCUUGACAUCAUCUUUUUCAUAUCCUCAGCAUCAAUAUGAGCAGCAGCAAUCUAAGCCUCGAGGCAGAGGGAGGCCCCGUAAACUAAAGUCCGAUACAGACAUGAUUAAAAAGAGUCUGUUACCAUCCAGUGAUCAUGGUUGCAAUGAGCAACAGCAGCAACUGGAGGGUCCAGGCAAUGGAAGGUGUCCAGUGCCAGAGUCAAAUUUAGUAGCAGAUGCAACCACAUCAUCACACUCCCAUGAUCAGAAUCACAAUGAGCAGCAGCAACCGCUGAGGAAAACAGGAGGCAGGCUUCCUAAAAGGAAAAGAAAAUGCUGUUGACAUCUAUAAUCAUGCACGUAAGGUGGUAUUUAUGGACUAGUAAAUUUUAAAAUUAGUUUCUCUGUGACAUGGUUUGUAAAUACUGAAAUUCCCUAGAGUAAGUUGGACGGAUGCUUGGUAUUUUACUUUUCGCCGAUUCAGUAGCAGAAACUUGCAGUUAUUUUGUGCCGAAUGAUUAAUGGUAGAACAAGGGCUAUAGCAAUAGUGGGAAUGGUAUGUAGCUUUAUUCUCGAACGCUCAUCACAAUAGGUAAAAGCGUAAAAGGAACUCUGGUUGGAUCUAUCAAAGAUUUAAAACUUUGAUAUGGAUGUCAAUUCAGCCCUGGUGGAGUGGCUUGCUUCUUUUCUUUUGGGCUGAUUUAGGUGAACUAUAUUUUUUUAUUUAGCUUUGCCUGAUUGAUGAACAUCAUUUUCUUAAUUUAUUUACCA
This 2735-nucleotide unclassified non-coding RNA is filed under the name Hevea brasiliensis (rubber tree). Lineage: Eukaryota; Viridiplantae; Streptophyta; Magnoliopsida; Malpighiales; Euphorbiaceae. The record is from RNAcentral.